Molecule: long non-coding RNA, 1213 nt
Organism: Homo sapiens (human)
Lineage: Eukaryota; Metazoa; Chordata; Mammalia; Primates; Hominidae
Source: Ensembl
ACAGAGCCAUCUGGCUUUCUUGCCUGGCACCAGACCUUAUGACUUCAUGAUGGAAUCUUCUCUCAGCAGGCAGAGGGGGAUUUGCCAGGGUAAAGAGGAGGCUGGGAGGAAGAGGCCUGCCGAGGGAGGCUUUGUCUUUUCAGCCAGAGUUUGACAAUUAGGCUUCAUCAUGUCACGAUGCGGUGCUACUGCUGACCCCAAAACACAACGCCGGAAGUGGUGCUCACUAGAGACUGUGAGUGGCAUUGUGCACCUGCCAUCUUGCUGAGGCCUCCCAGGGGAGCUCAGAGGACACCUGGCCUCCUUCAAUCCAGGACUCACUGUUGAAGUGGAGCCGGGGCCCUCGCAGGAAAGAAUGAGCUGUGGGAGGGCCACUGGUCCACCACAGGGAGUCUGUGCUGUCCAGUGCCCACUGGAUGGCAGGAAGGGUAGGGCCUUAGAUGUGUCAGAACUGUGACGCUGAAUCCGGAGCCCCAACCUCUCCUAGCCUCCUAGAGGAGGAUGACCCAGGACCCUUGUCCUCCCAACAGCAGGCCACCAGUUCAAGGGACAAGAAGCCCCUAAGCUCCCUCCACCUUUCACAUAGGGCCCAGGUGGCCUUGGAGUACCUGCCUUUCUUCUGCACCUAUGGGUGCCUCCUGGAAGAGGAGGGGUUGGUCCUGCAGCCCAAGACACCGCUCCAGGAGGACUCAGAACUGCUCAGUGGGUUCUUCCCUUACUACCGCUCUGAGGAGGAGAGUUUGCCCAGCCUGGCCCUUCCUGGCUGGUCACACAGGGGCUCCCAAGAUCUGCCCACUGAGAAGGAGGCACGGGCUGGCUGCUUCUGCAGGACAACAGUCAGGGACGAAUGCUCUACUCUAACAGGCCCCUGGACAGGCCCCUCUCAGGGCUGCUGCGGCCCUUGGAGCAAGGUGUCACUGGUUGGGAGCACAGACACUGCAGGAAGACUGUCCUGUUCAAGCCCAGCUUGACCACCUGCUAGGAGAGCGGCCUGGGGAACGUGGUUUCCUUAUAAAAGAGAGAACAGCAGCAGCAACAAUAAAGCCAUUGUGAGAAUUACAUACAACCACGUACCUAAAGUGCUCAGCAGGAUGCCUGACCCAAGCUCAGACAGAGGAAGCAGGAGCCACCUGAACAACUGAAGGGUGCAGACACCCAGAAGCUGGUUUUGUAAAUAAAUCGUGCACCUUGGCGCUGGUGCACUAAUUGGAUG